RNAcentral lists this non-coding RNA (115 nucleotides) under Heterosigma akashiwo. Lineage: Eukaryota; Raphidophyceae; Chattonellales; Chattonellaceae. The record is from RNAcentral.
AUACUAAAAAAAAAAAAAAUGUAUAUGUAUAUAUUCUUCCCGCCGUCUUUUUUUUCUUUUUGCUCCAUGGUGGUUCUUGACUUCACUUGCUCACAAAUGGGUGGUGGUUCGCACC